Molecule: transfer RNA, 73 nt
Filed under: Chthoniobacterales bacterium
Lineage: Bacteria; Pseudomonadati; Verrucomicrobiota; Spartobacteria; Chthoniobacterales
Description: tRNA-Leu
Rfam family: tRNA
About the family: Transfer RNA (tRNA) molecules are approximately 80 nucleotides in length. Their secondary structure includes four short double-helical elements and three loops (D, anti-codon, and T loops).
Source: RNAcentral
CCCUGCCUAGCCCAAUAGCAGAGGCAUCGGUCUUAGGAACCGACCAGUGCGGGUGCAACUCCUGCCGCAGGGA